RNAcentral lists this ribosomal RNA (497 nucleotides) under uncultured bacterium. RNAcentral's name for it is "partial 16S ribosomal RNA". It matches the Rfam family "Bacterial small subunit ribosomal RNA", at positions 28 to 507 of the family's 1533-position model. The record is from RNAcentral.
GAUGAACGCCGGCGGCGUGCCUAAUACAUGCAAGUCGAGCGAACGGACGAGAAGCUUGCUUCUCUGAUGUUAGCGGCGGACGGGUGAGUAACACGUGGAUAACCUACCUAUAAGACUGGGAUAACUUCGGGAAACCGGAGCUAAUACCGGAUAAUAUUUUGAACCGCAUGGUUCAAAAGUGAAAGACGGUCUUGCUGUCACUUAUAGAUGGAUCCGCGCUGCAUUAGCUAGUUGGUAAGGUAACGGCUUACCAAGGCAACGAUGCAUAGCCGACCUGAGAGGGUGAUCGGCCACACUGGAACUGAGACACGGUCCAGACUCCUACGGGAGGCAGCAGUAGGGAAUCUUCCGCAAUGGGCGAAAGCCUGACGGAGCAACGCCGCGUGAGUGAUGAAGGUCUUCGGAUCGUAAAACUCUGUUAUUAGGGAAGAACAUAUGUGUAAGUAACUGUGCAUAUCUUGACGGUACCUAAUCAGAAAGCCACGGCUAACUACGUG